UGGUCGGGAUAGCUCAGCUGGUAGAAGCAGAGACUGAAAUCCUCG
RNAcentral lists this transfer RNA (45 nucleotides) under Dorcoceras philippense. Its description in RNAcentral is "partial tRNA-Phe". The record is from RNAcentral. Lineage: Eukaryota; Viridiplantae; Streptophyta; Magnoliopsida; Lamiales; Gesneriaceae.